UUUUCAACGAAAGCUUCCUAUUACAAUAGUUGAAGAGGUCUUCCAAGCUCGGUCCAAGAAGGUCUAUGACCAUUACAUUGUACUCACCUUCGACUCCAAACCAUUUAAGGUUGGGAAUUCCAGUUCCUCCUGAGAGAAGCAUAUAUAUUUUUGAUUCAUAGUGCAGUUGAGGGUGCUUUGUCUUGACAGAUUCCAGCUUAAUGGCAACUUCUUCUCCAUUCUGUAAAUUCACACCUAAAUAAAGUUCACCAAAAGACCCACUUCCGAUCUUCCUUCCCAACUUAAACUUCCCACCCACAACAUGAUCCAUGGUAACUGAACAACUCCACUUCAAGAUUUCAACAACCAAAUAUUU
This 355-nucleotide unclassified non-coding RNA is filed under the name Hevea brasiliensis (rubber tree). The record is from RNAcentral. Lineage: Eukaryota; Viridiplantae; Streptophyta; Magnoliopsida; Malpighiales; Euphorbiaceae.